GAGGGUAUAGCUCAGUGGGAGAGUGCGUGCUUAGCAUGCACGGGGUCCUAGGUUCAAUCCCCAGUACUUCUG
RNAcentral lists this transfer RNA (72 nucleotides) under Camelus bactrianus (Bactrian camel). It matches the Rfam family "tRNA". Rfam says of the family: Transfer RNA (tRNA) molecules are approximately 80 nucleotides in length. Their secondary structure includes four short double-helical elements and three loops (D, anti-codon, and T loops). RNAcentral also lists the same sequence under 2 other names. Lineage: Eukaryota; Metazoa; Chordata; Mammalia; Artiodactyla; Camelidae. The record is from Rfam by way of RNAcentral.